This 2917-nucleotide ribosomal RNA is filed under the name Klebsiella pneumoniae. Its description in RNAcentral is "23S ribosomal RNA". It matches the Rfam family "Bacterial large subunit ribosomal RNA". The record is from RNAcentral. Lineage: Bacteria; Pseudomonadati; Pseudomonadota; Gammaproteobacteria; Enterobacterales; Enterobacteriaceae.
GGGUUGUGAGGUUAAGCGACUAAGCGUACACGGUGGAUGCCCUGGCAGUCAGAGGCGAUGAAGGACGUGCUAAUCUGCGAAAAGCGUCGGUAAGGUGAUAUGAACCGUUAUAACCGGCGAUGUCCGAAUGGGGAAACCCAGUGCAAUUCGUUGCACUAUCGUUAACUGAAUACAUAGGUUAACGAGGCGAACCGGGGGAACUGAAACAUCUAAGUACCCCGAGGAAAAGAAAUCAACCGAGAUUCCCCCAGUAGCGGCGAGCGAACGGGGAGCAGCCCAGAGUCUGAAUCAGCUUGUGUGUUAGUGGAACGGUCUGGAAAGUCCGACGGUACAGGGUGAUAGUCCCGUACACCAAAAUGCACAGGCUGUGAACUCGAAGAGUAGGGCGGGACACGUGGUAUCCUGUCUGAAUAUGGGGGGACCAUCCUCCAAGGCUAAAUACUCCUGACUGACCGAUAGUGAACCAGUACCGUGAGGGAAAGGCGAAAAGAACCCCGGCGAGGGGAGUGAAAAAGAACCUGAAACCGUGUACGUACAAGCAGUGGGAGCACCUUCGGGUGUGACUGCGUACCUUUUGUAUAAUGGGUCAGCGACUUAUAUUCUGUAGCAAGGUUAACCGUAGUAGGGAGCCGCAGGAAACCGAGUCGUUAACUGGGCGUUAAGUUGCAGGGUAUAGACCCGAAACCCGGUGAUCUAGCCAUGGGCAGGUUGAAGGUUGGGUAACACUAACUGGAGGACCGAACCGACUAAUGUUGAAAAAUUAGCGGAUGACUUGUGGCUGGGGGUGAAAGGCCAAUCAAACCGGGAGAUAGCUGGUUCUCCCCGAAAGCUAUUUAGGUAGCGCCUCGUGAACUCAUCUUCGGGGGUAGAGCACUGUUUCGGCUAGGGGGUCAUCCCGACUUACCAACCCGAUGCAAACUACGAAUACCGAAGAAUGUUAUCACGGGAGACACACGGCGGGUGCUAACGUCCGUCGUGAAGAGGGAAACAACCCAGACCGCCAGCUAAGGUCCCAAAGUCAUGGUUAAGUGGGAAACGAUGUGGGAAGGCACAGACAGCCGGAUGUUGGCUUAGAAGCAGCCAUCAUUUAAAGAAAGCGUAAUAGCUCACUGGUCGAGUCGGCCUGCGCGGAAGAUGUAACGGGGCUAAACCAUGCACCGAAGCUGCGGCAGCGACACUAUGUGUUGUUGGGUAGGGGAGCGUUCUGUAAGCCUGCGAAGGUGACCUGUGAGGGUUGCUGGAGGUAUCAGAAGUGCGAAUGCUGACAUAAGUAACGAUAAAGCGGGUGAAAAGCCCGCUCGCCGGAAGACCAAGGGUUCCUGUCCAACGUUAAUCGGGGCAGGGUGAGUCGACCCCUAAGGCGAGGCCGAAAGGCGUAGUCGAUGGGAAACAGGUUAAUAUUCCUGUACUUGGUGUUACUGCGAAGGGGGGACGGAGAAGGCUAUGUUAGCCGGGCGACGGUUGUCCCGGUUUAAGCAUGUAGGCUGGUUAUCCAGGCAAAUCCGGAUAAUCAAGGCUGAGGUGUGAUGACGAGGCACUACGGUGCUGAAGUAACAAAUGCCCUGCUUCCAGGAAAAGCCUCUAAGCAUCAGGUAACAUUGAAUCGUACCCCAAACCGACACAGGUGGUCAGGUAGAGAAUACCAAGGCGCUUGAGAGAACUCGGGUGAAGGAACUAGGCAAAAUGGUGCCGUAACUUCGGGAGAAGGCACGCUGGUGUGUAGGUGAAGCCCCUGCGGGUGGAGCUGAGACCAGUCGAAGAUACCAGCUGGCUGCAACUGUUUAUUAAAAACACAGCACUGUGCAAACACGAAAGUGGACGUAUACGGUGUGACGCCUGCCCGGUGCCGGAAGGUUAAUUGAUGGGGUUAUCCGUAAGGAGAAGCUCUUGAUCGAAGCCCCGGUAAACGGCGGCCGUAACUAUAACGGUCCUAAGGUAGCGAAAUUCCUUGUCGGGUAAGUUCCGACCUGCACGAAUGGCGUAAUGAUGGCCAGGCUGUCUCCACCCGAGACUCAGUGAAAUUGAACUCGCUGUGAAGAUGCAGUGUACCCGCGGCAAGACGGAAAGACCCCGUGAACCUUUACUAUAGCUUGACACUGAACAUUGAGCCUUGAUGUAGGAUAGGUGGGAGGCUUUGAAGCGUGGACGCCAGUCUGCGUGGAGCCAACCUUGAAAUACCACCCUUUAAUGUUUGAUGUUCUAACGUUGGCCCCUGACCGGGGUUGCGGACAGUGUCUGGUGGGUAGUUUGACUGGGGCGGUCUCCUCCCAAAGCGUAACGGAGGAGCACGAAGGUUAGCUAAUCCUGGUCGGACAUCAGGAGGUUAGUGCAAUGGCAUAAGCUAGCUUGACUGCGAGCGUGACGGCGCGAGCAGGUGCGAAAGCAGGUCAUAGUGAUCCGGUGGUUCUGAAUGGAAGGGCCAUCGCUCAACGGAUAAAAGGUACCGGGGAUAACAGGCUGAUACCGCCCAAGAGUUCAUAUCGACGGCGGUGUUUGGCACCUCGAUGUCGGCUCAUCACAUCCCGGGCUGAAGUAGGUCCCAAGGGUAUGGCUGUUCGCCAUUUAAAGUGGUACGCGAGCUGGGUUUAGAACGUCGUGAGACAGUUCGGUCCCUAUCUGCCGUGGGCGCUGGAGAAUUGAGGGGGGCUGCUCCUAGUACGAGAGGACCGGAGUGGACGCAUCACUGGUGUUCGGGUUGUCAUGCCAAUGGCACUGCCCGGUAGCUAAAUGCGGAAGAGAUAAGUGCUGAAAGCAUCUAAGCACGAAACUUGCCCCGAGAUGAGUUCUCCCUGAGACUUUAAGUCUCCUGAAGGAACGUUAAAGACGAUGACGUUGAUAGGCCGGGUGUGUAAGCGCAGCGAUGCGUUGAGCUAACCGGUACUAAUGAACCGUGAGGCUUAACCUUACAACGCCGAAG